This 284-nucleotide ribosomal RNA is filed under the name Bacillus toyonensis. RNAcentral describes it as "partial 23S ribosomal RNA". It matches the Rfam family "Bacterial large subunit ribosomal RNA", at positions 2642 to 2925 of the family's 2925-position model. RNAcentral also lists the same sequence under 1 other name. The record is from RNAcentral. Lineage: Bacteria; Bacillati; Bacillota; Bacilli; Caryophanales; Bacillaceae.
CCGUCGUGGGCGUAGGAAAUUUGAGAGGAGCUGUCCUUAGUACGAGAGGACCGGGAUGGACGCACCGCUGGUGUACCAGUUGUUCUGCCAAGGGCAUAGCUGGGUAGCUAUGUGCGGAAGGGAUAAGUGCUGAAAGCAUCUAAGCAUGAAGCCCCCCUCAAGAUGAGAUUUCCCAUAGCGUAAGCUAGUAAGAUCCCUGAAAGAUGAUCAGGUUGAUAGGUUCGAGGUGGAAGCAUGGUGACAUGUGGAGCUGACGAAUACUAAUAGAUCGAGGACUUAACCAU